Long non-coding RNA from Schistocerca nitens (vagrant locust), 534 nucleotides. RefSeq lists it as uncharacterized. The record is from RefSeq and is a predicted model, not a curated record. NCBI's taxonomy places the organism in Eukaryota, Metazoa, Arthropoda, Insecta, Orthoptera, Acrididae. The transcript is spliced from 3 exons.
ACAUCUUCGGGUCAGCGGCGGGGUCAGCGCUUCUGCGUCGGGAAGUGACUGUGGCCGCCACUGGAGCCAGUAAUCCUUGCAAGUGCGUCGCGUCCAGUCGGUACGGCUGCUCCAGGGGCGCUCGCCCUACACGCCGGGGAGAGCCGCAGCAUCCACCUCGUGCCCAGCGCGAACAUGUCGAUGGCUGCAACUACCGACAUUAUCCGGAUGUGACUCGCCAGUUUCCUGAGGGUGACUAGAGCGGGCGUAUCGGCAGCGACAACUGCACACCGUCUGGAAUGCGUCCAGAGGUGAUGAGGCGGUAAUUGUGGGUGACGUAGCAGAAGAGUACCGGUCGCUGCAGCUCCAAGGCGCGUGCAGUGCUCGGGAGAAGCUGUACAGAUAACGCUGGCUCCAAGAGGCCAGAAACUGAGUGAUCUGGCCGACAUGGUCGUGGUCGACCCAAUGGUCCAUCACAUCCAUCCGGUCGUAGGGAAAUCCACACGUUCACGCAGAAGGCUUACAACGCUCGCCAGAACUGUAUAACAAGGUAUG